AUUAGAGUUUGAUCGUGGCUCAGGAUGAACGCUGGCGGCGUGCCUAAUACAUGCAAGUCGAACGAGUUCUUGUUGAUGAUCGGUGCUUGCACCAAGAUUCAACAUGGAACGAGUGGCGGACGGGUGAGUAACACGUGGGUAACCUGCCCUUAAGUGGGGGAUAACAUUUGGAAACAGAUGCUAAUACCGCAUAGAUCCAAGAACCGCAUGGUUCUUGGCUGAAAGAUGGCGUAAGCUAUCGCUUUUGGAUGGACCCGCGGCGUAUUAGCUAGUUGGUGAGGUAAUGGCUCACCAAGGCGAUGAUACGUAGCCGAACUGAGAGGUUGAUCGGCCACAUUGGGACUGAGACACGGCCCAAACUCCUACGGGAGGCAGCAGUAGGGAAUCUUCCACAAUGGACGCAAGUCUGAUGGAGCAACGCCGCGUGAGUGAAGAAGGCUUUCGGGUCGUAAAACUCUGUUGUUGGAGAAGAAUGGUCGGCAGAGUAACUGUUGUCGGCGUGACGGUAUCCAACCAGAAAGCCACGGCUAACUACGUGCCAGCAGCCGCGGUAAUACGUAGGUGGCAAGCGUUAUCCGGAUUUAUUGGGCGUAAAGCGAGCGCAGGCGGUUUUUUAAGUCUGAUGUGAAAGCCCUCGGCUUAACCGAGGAAGCGCAUCGGAAACUGGGAAACUUGAGUGCAGAAGAGGACAGUGGAACUCCAUGUGUAGCGGUGAAAUGCGUAGAUAUAUGGAAGAACACCAGUGGCGAAGGCGGCUGUCUGGUCUGUAACUGACGCUGAGCUCGAAAGCAUGGGUAGCGAACAGGAUUAGAUACCCUGGUAGUCCAUGCCGUAAACGAUGAAUGCUAGGUGUUGGAGGGUUUCCGCCCUUCAGUGCCGCAGCUAACGCAUUAAGCAUUCCGCCUGGGGAGUACGACCGCAAGGUUGAAACUCAAAGGAAUUGACGGGGGCCCGCACAAGCGGUGGAGCAUGUGGUUUAAUUCGAAGCAACGCGAAGAACCUUACCAGGUCUUGACAUCUUUUGAUCACCUGAGAGAUCAGGUUUCCCCUUCGGGGGCAAAAUGACAGGUGGUGCAUGGUUGUCGUCAGCUCGUGUCGUGAGAUGUUGGGUUAAGUCCCGCAACGAGCGCAACCCUUAUGACUAGUUGCCAGCAUUUAGUUGGGCACUCUAGUAAGACUGCCGGUGACAAACCGGAGGAAGGUGGGGAUGACGUCAAAUCAUCAUGCCCCUUAUGACCUGGGCUACACACGUGCUACAAUGGAUGGUACAACGAGUUGCGAGACCGCGAGGUCAAGCUAAUCUCUUAAAGCCAUUCUCAGUUCGGACUGUAGGCUGCAACUCGCCUACACGAAGUCGGAAUCGCUAGUAAUCGCGGAUCAGCACGCCGCGGUGAAUACGUUCCCGGGCCUUGUACACACCGCCCGUCACACCAUGAGAGUUUGUAACACCCGAAGCCGGUGGCGUAACCCUUUUAGGGAGCGAGCCGUCUAAGGUGGGACAAAUGAUUAGGGUGAAGUCGUAACAAGGUAUCCGAAUC
This 1538-nucleotide ribosomal RNA is filed under the name Lacticaseibacillus casei. RNAcentral describes it as "bacterial SSU rRNA". It matches the Rfam family "Bacterial small subunit ribosomal RNA". The record is from RNAcentral. Lineage: Bacteria; Bacillati; Bacillota; Bacilli; Lactobacillales; Lactobacillaceae.